This 1566-nucleotide unclassified non-coding RNA is filed under the name Wilmottia sp. KPABG 231. RNAcentral describes it as "bacterial SSU rRNA". The stretch from base 1 to 1117 matches the Rfam family "Bacterial small subunit ribosomal RNA", at positions 401 to 1533 of the family's 1533-position model. Lineage: Bacteria; Bacillati; Cyanobacteriota; Cyanophyceae; Coleofasciculales; Wilmottiaceae. The record is from RNAcentral.
UGAGGGAGGAGGCUCUUGGGUUGUAAACCUCUUUUCUUAGGGAAUAAAAAAAUGAAGGUACCUAAGGAAUCAGCAUCGGCUAACUCCGUGCCAGCAGCCGCGGUAAUACGGAGGAUGCAAGCGUUAUUCGGAAUUAUUGGGCGUAAAGCGUCCGCAGGUGGCACUUCAAGUCUGCUGUUAAAGAUUGGGGCUUAACCCUAAAAAGGCAGUGGAAACUGAAGAGCUAGAGUGUCGUAGGGGUAGAGGGAAUUCCUGGUGUAGCGGUGAAAUGCGUAGAGAUCAGGAAGAACAUCGGUGGCGAAAGCGCUCUACUGGACGACAACUGACACUCAGGGACGAAAGCUAGGGGAGCGAAUGGGAUUAGAUACCCCAGUAGUCCUAGCCGUAAACGAUGGAUACUAGGUGUGGCUUGUAUCGACCCGAGCCGUGCCGUAGCUAACGCGUUAAGUAUCCCGCCUGGGGAGUACGCGCGCAAGCGUGAAACUCAAAGGAAUUGACGGGGGCCCGCACAAGCGGUGGAGUAUGUGGUUUAAUUCGAUGCAACGCGAAGAACCUUACCAGGGCUUGACAUGUCUGGAAUCUCUUUGAAAGGAGAGAGUGCCUUCGGGAGCCAGAACACAGGUGGUGCAUGGCUGUCGUCAGCUCGUGUCGUGAGAUGUUGGGUUAAGUCCCGCAACGAGCGCAACCCUCGUUUUUAGUUGCCAUCAUUAAGUUGGGCACUCUAGAGAGACUGCCGGUGACAAACCGGAGGAAGGUGGGGAUGACGUCAAGUCAGCAUGCCCCUUACGUCCUGGGCUACACACGUACUACAAUGCGACGGACAAAGGGCAGCCAACCAGCGAUGGUGCGCUAAUCCCAUAAACCGUGGCUCAGUUCAGAUCGCAGGCUGCAACUCGCCUGCGUGAAGGAGGAAUCGCUAGUAAUUGCAGGUCAGCAUACUGCAGUGAAUCCGUUCCCGGGCCUUGUACACACCGCCCGUCACACCAUGGAAGCUGGCCACGCCCGAAGUCGUUACCCUAACCGUUCGCGGAGGGGGACGCCGAAGGCAGGGCUGGUGACUGGGGUGAAGUCGUAACAAGGUAGCCGUACCGGAAGGUGUGGCUGGAUCACCUCCUUUUAGGGAGACCAACUGUAACGACAACUAAAAUUGGCAACAAUGAGUAAAUUGUAGUUAGAGAUAUCCCAAGGUCGAGCGAGCUUGCUCAAAAAAGCUUUCAAACUAUUGUUGCGGUUCGGACUGGGCUAUUAGCUCAGGUGGUUAGAGCGCGCCCCUGAUAAGGGCGAGGUCCCUGGUUCGAGUCCAGGAUGGCCCACCUCUAAUUACCGAAGAGUAAAAGACCCCAAGAAACCGCAUUUCUAUUCAGCACCUCAAAUUGCACAACUAAGAGCAAGAGAGAAUGCUGGAUCUUGAAUCCAGUAAGCACCUUGAAAACUGCAUAGUAAAAAGAAGAAACGAAGACAAAUGUUUAACGAGCAGUAGCUCAGUUAGGUGUUUGUCCAAGUGUGUGAACUGAAAUAGUGGUCAAGCGACAAAGAGCUUAUGGUGGAUACCUAGGCACACAGAGA